RNAcentral lists this small RNA (81 nucleotides) under Salmonella enterica subsp. enterica serovar Agbeni. Its description in RNAcentral is "partial RtT sRNA". It matches the Rfam family "RtT RNA", at positions 52 to 130 of the family's 130-position model. From Rfam's summary of the family: This family represents a bacterial cis-regulatory element known as RtT RNA. The record is from RNAcentral. Lineage: Bacteria; Pseudomonadati; Pseudomonadota; Gammaproteobacteria; Enterobacterales; Enterobacteriaceae.
GCGAAAGCGAGAAAGCGUUGCCGCAGGCAACGACCCGAAGGGCGAAGCGCGCAGCGCUGAGUCAUCCUUCCCCCCUCAUCC